UGCCGCGUGCGUGAAGAAGGCCUUCGGGUUGUAAACCGCUUUUGUCAGGGAAGAAAGGGUUCUGGAUAAUACCUGGGACUCAUGACGGUACCUGAAGAAUAAGCACCGGCUAACUACGUGCCAGCAGCCGCGGUAAUACGUAGGGUGCAAGCGUUAAUCGGAAUUACUGGGCGUAAAGCGUGCGCAGGCGGUUAUGCAAGACAGAGGUGAAAUCCCCGGGCUCAACCUGGGAACUGCCUUUGUGACUGCAUAGCUAGAGUACGGUAGAGGGGGAUGGAAUUCCGCGUGUAGCAGUGAAAUGCGUAGAUAUGCGGAGGAACACCGAUGGCGAAGGCAAUCCCCUGGACCUGUACUGACGCUCAUGCACGAAAGCGUGGGGAGCAAACAGGAUUAGAUACCCUGGUAGUCCACGCCCUAAACGAUGUCAACUGGUUGGUGGGAGGGUUUCUUCUCGGUAACCAAACUUACGCGUGAAGUUGACCGCCUGGGGAGUACGGCCGCAAGGUUGAAACUCCAAGGAAUUGACGGGGACCCGCACAAGCGGUGGAUGAUGUGGUUUAAUUCCAUGCCACGCGAAAAACCUUACCUACCCUUGACAUGUC
RNAcentral lists this ribosomal RNA (602 nucleotides) under Pelomonas sp. Se2Pt_429. Its description in RNAcentral is "bacterial SSU rRNA". It matches the Rfam family "Bacterial small subunit ribosomal RNA", at positions 395 to 990 of the family's 1533-position model. The record is from RNAcentral. Lineage: Bacteria; Pseudomonadati; Pseudomonadota; Betaproteobacteria; Burkholderiales; Sphaerotilaceae.